AUUGAACGCUGGCGGCAGGCCUAACACAUGCAAGUCGAACGAGUGGCGGACGGGUGAGUAAUGUCUGGGAAACUGCCUGAUGGAGGGGGAUAACUACUGGAAACGGUAGCUAAUACCGCAUACCAUCGGAUGUGCCCAGAUGGGAUUAGCUUGUUGGUGGGGUAACGGCACACCAAGGCGACGAGCCCUAGCUGGUCUGAGAGGAUGACCAGCCAAACUGUAACUGCGACACGGUCCAGACUCCUCCGUGAGGCAGCAGUGGGGAAUAUUGCACAAUGGUCGCAAGCCUGAUGCAGCCAUGCCGCGGGUAUGAAGAAGGCCUUCGGGUUGUAAAGUACUUGCAGCGGGGAGGCGUUACCCGCAGAAGAAGCACCGGCUAACUCCGUGCCAGCCGCCGCGGUAAUUC
RNAcentral lists this ribosomal RNA (406 nucleotides) under uncultured bacterium. RNAcentral describes it as "partial 16S ribosomal RNA". It matches the Rfam family "Bacterial small subunit ribosomal RNA", at positions 30 to 526 of the family's 1533-position model. The record is from RNAcentral.